GACUGAUCCCUGAGUUGAGAACAUUUAUGCUAUUAAAAAAACCAUUUUGGUAGGUGUGAGUUGCUUGUCAGAAAUCCGUUCUGAAGCUUGAGUGCAAAGGAAGCAGGGAACUAAUGAUGAAUAAGAAUGGAUAUCUUGAGGAUAACAAUGGAUAUGGCAUCUUCAAAAGCUGUGGCAUUCUGGUCCUAGUGUCCUGCAACUGGAUUUGUUCAAAUGGAUCUUGAUAGCCUGGGGGCCUGACAAAGUUCAUGGGACACCCUGGUGACUGCAAGUUCUCACUCUGAAGAUCUGAUUGUAGGCCUGAACCAAAAUUUCUGUUUUGUUCUCCUGUCUAUUUGCUUCUUAAAUGAUGAAAGUUAUUCUUUAAAUGGUGUUGUCUUUGAGUCUUAUGCACAUCCACUUUAGCAGUGU
RNAcentral lists this long non-coding RNA (411 nucleotides) under Cyanistes caeruleus (blue tit). RNAcentral describes it as "lncRNA (ENSCCEG00000023763.1)". The record is from RNAcentral. Lineage: Eukaryota; Metazoa; Chordata; Aves; Passeriformes; Paridae.